RNAcentral lists this transfer RNA (40 nucleotides) under Alstroemeria aurea. RNAcentral describes it as "partial tRNA-Phe". It matches the Rfam family "tRNA", at positions 1 to 39 of the family's 71-position model. From Rfam's summary of the family: Transfer RNA (tRNA) molecules are approximately 80 nucleotides in length. Their secondary structure includes four short double-helical elements and three loops (D, anti-codon, and T loops). RNAcentral also lists the same sequence under 2 other names. The record is from RNAcentral. Lineage: Eukaryota; Viridiplantae; Streptophyta; Magnoliopsida; Liliales; Alstroemeriaceae.
GUUGGGAUAGCUCAGUCGGUAGAGCAGAGGACUGAAAAUC